UGAGGAAUAUUGGUCAAUGGGCGGGAGCCUGAACCAGCCAAGCCGCGUGAGGGAUGAAGGCCCUAUGGGUCGUAAACCUCUUUUGUCAGGGAACAAAAGCGAGUAUGUAUACUAGUCUGAGUGUACCUGAAGAAAAAGCAUCGGCUAACUCCGUGCCAGCAGCCGCGGUAAUACGGAGGAUGCGAGCGUUAUCCGGAUUUAUUGGGUUUAAAGGGUGCGUAGGCGGCGAUGCAAGCCAGCGGUAAAGGCCCGGGGCUCAACCCCGGCGAGCCGUUGAAACUGCAGUGCUAGAGAAGGCGAGAGGUACGCGGAAUGCGCAGUGUAGCGGUGAAAUGCUUAGAUAUUGCGCAGAACUCCGAUUGCGAAGGCAGCGUACUGGCGCCUGACUGACGCUGAGGCACGAAAGCGUGGGGAUCGAACAGGAUUAGAUACCC
Molecule: ribosomal RNA, 434 nt
Filed under: uncultured bacterium
Lineage: Bacteria
Description: bacterial SSU rRNA
Rfam family: Bacterial small subunit ribosomal RNA
Source: RNAcentral